GGCGGUGUAGCUCAGCUGGUUAGAGCACACGGUUCAUACCCGUGGCGUCACUGGUUCGAAUCCAGUCACCGCUA
Collinsella sp. CAG:398 is the source of this 74-nucleotide non-coding RNA. The record is from Rfam. NCBI's taxonomy places the organism in Bacteria, Bacillati, Actinomycetota, Coriobacteriia, Coriobacteriales, Coriobacteriaceae.